This 71-nucleotide transfer RNA is filed under the name Caudoviricetes sp. Its description in RNAcentral is "tRNA-Glu". It matches the Rfam family "tRNA". Rfam says of the family: Transfer RNA (tRNA) molecules are approximately 80 nucleotides in length. Their secondary structure includes four short double-helical elements and three loops (D, anti-codon, and T loops). The record is from RNAcentral. Lineage: Duplodnaviria; Heunggongvirae; Uroviricota; Caudoviricetes.
GCUCUUGUCGUCUAAUGGUAGGACAUGCGACUUUCUAUCGUAGAAUUACGGUUCGAAUCUGUGCUUGAGUA